AAGGAAUCUUCGGCAAUGGGCGCAAGCCUGACCGAGCAACGCCGCGUGGAGGACGACGGCCUUCGGGUUGUAAACUCCUUUUAGGGGGGACGAACCGGACUGUACCCCCUGAAUAAGCCCCGGCUAACUCUGUGCCAGCAGCCGCGGUAAUACAGAGGGGGCAAGCGUUGUCCGGAUUUACUGGGCGUACAGCGCGCGCAGGCGGUUACGUAUGGGAGCGGUGACAGCCGCGGGCUCAACCCGCGGCGGCCCGCUUACACAGCGUGACUGGAGGCAGGGAGAGGGAUGUGGAAUACCCGGUGGAGCGGUGAAAUGCGUAGAGAUCGGGUGGAACACCAGCGGCGAAGGCGGCAUCCUGGCCCUGACCUGACGCUGAGGCGCGAUAGCGUGGGGAGCAAA
RNAcentral lists this ribosomal RNA (399 nucleotides) under uncultured bacterium. RNAcentral describes it as "bacterial SSU rRNA". It matches the Rfam family "Bacterial small subunit ribosomal RNA", at positions 356 to 772 of the family's 1533-position model. The record is from RNAcentral.